RNAcentral lists this transfer RNA (85 nucleotides) under Methanosphaera cuniculi. Its description in RNAcentral is "tRNA-Leu". It matches the Rfam family "tRNA". Rfam says of the family: Transfer RNA (tRNA) molecules are approximately 80 nucleotides in length. Their secondary structure includes four short double-helical elements and three loops (D, anti-codon, and T loops). The record is from RNAcentral. Lineage: Archaea; Methanobacteriati; Methanobacteriota; Methanobacteria; Methanobacteriales; Methanobacteriaceae.
GCAGGGGUGUCCGAGCUGGCCAAAGGGGGUGGACUUAAGAUCCUCUGGCGUAGGCCUACGUGGGUUCGAAUCCCAUCCCCUGCAC